CGGACGGAACUAGAUUGAGUUUUCUGUCUUUGGGCAGAAGCAAGGGCUGAGGACAGGCCCAGAGACGGCUGUGCUCACACACCUGAGCCAGUGACUGAAGGACCUGCUCCGAGUCAUCGUCGAGUCCAGUGACGGAGGCCCCUGGCGACACUGCCCACGGUGCUGAGUGGCGGCUGUCUCCGGCAGGGGCUGGGCUUUCCUGCACGCACAGUGCGCUUCCUUGUCCCCGACCCCAUGAGGUAGGCCUGAGCUCGCUGACUCAGGGACAGGAAUGUGGCAUGUGGAGCCCUGGGAGACUUGGCUAAGGUCACCCGGUAGUCAGGGCAGGGGUGAGUCAGACUCCAGGUCCUGACUGCAGCCUGGCUUUCAGCCCCAGCUGCACUGAGUACAGAGCAAAGAAGAGGACUGACGGUGGGAUCGGACUAGCAGUGGAGAAGGGCAGAGGAUGGGAGCCGGGGGCAUGGAGAGGGACAGACCUCGGGGAAGACCCAGGAGAGAAAGGCGUCUGAGAAGUCGAGGGAGAACGUAUUUGAGAGAAAGACCUCUGGAGAUGACACAUACUACCACGGUCCUGUCACGUUGAAGUCUGUUUGGAUCUCUCUGUCCCCGGAUCAGUCCCUCUCGACUUGAGUCAGUUCUGUGUGCUGUGAACACUUGGGCUCCAACACGUACUCUCCAGAUAUGACUCUUGGACACUGAGCACUGUGACAUUAGUAACACUACUCUGAUCUUCGGUCUCAAUUCCUGGCCCGGAGCUUCCCAACUCCGGGAAUUUCCUGAGUGCUAAGCAAGUCCUGUGUUAUUUAGAAGGAAGCCCUGCGGCCAGGCCUGGAUUGACGCUAAUGGGAUGGAACCUCAUAGAGCUCCGUGGGAGGGGCUGGUCGUAGGCGAGGAGCGAGAACACAGAAAUUUUCCCAAGUAUUUGUUUACCCGUUGCAUUUCCUUUUGUGAAGUCCUGGUUCAUGACCUGGAACCCUGAGGGCUGGAAGAACAUGAGAACAAGAUGACAACAGGUGAUGAAUACAUUCCUCCACUCUGUCUAGGCUGUUUUUUGGCAUAUGCUGUGAGGUAAUCGAAGAACCUGAAUGUCAUUGUUCCCAAAUCACCUGCCAAAGUAUCCGUGCCUUCUGCUCUCCUGUCCUGGGACGGGGGCCCCCAUGACCCCCAUGCUCUGCAGACGUCCCUCUGCUCUCAGGAUUGCCCAGAAUCUG
Molecule: long non-coding RNA, 1211 nt
Organism: Tupaia belangeri chinensis (Chinese tree shrew)
Lineage: Eukaryota; Metazoa; Chordata; Mammalia; Scandentia; Tupaiidae
Exons: 5
Source: RefSeq, a predicted model, not a curated record